RNAcentral lists this ribosomal RNA (674 nucleotides) under uncultured bacterium. Its description in RNAcentral is "bacterial SSU rRNA". It matches the Rfam family "Bacterial small subunit ribosomal RNA", at positions 143 to 803 of the family's 1533-position model. The record is from RNAcentral.
AUAACAUUUGGAAACAGAUGCUAAUACCGCAUAACAAUUUGAAUCGCAUGAUUCAAAUUUAAAAGAUGGUUUCGGCUAUCACUUUGGGAUGGACCUGCGGCGCAUUAGCUUGUUGGUAGGGUAACGGCCUACCAAGGCUGUGAUGCGUAGCCGAGUUGAGAGACUGAUCGGCCACAAUGGAACUGAGACACGGUCCAUACUCCUACGGGAGGCAGCAGUAGGGAAUCUUCCACAAUGGGCGCAAGCCUGAUGGAGCAACACCGCGUGAGUGAAGAAGGGUUUCGGCUCGUAAAGCUCUGUUGUUAGAGAAGAACGUGCGUGAGAGCAACUGUUCACGCAGUGACGGUAUCUAACCAGAAAGUCACGGCUAACUACGUACCAGCAGCCGCGGUAAUACGUAGGUGGCAAGCGUUAUCCGGAUUUAUUGGGCGUAAAGCGAGCGCAGGCGGUUUGAUAAGUCUGAUGUGAAAGCCUUUGGCUUAACCAAAGAAGUGCAUCGGAAACUGUCAGACUUGAGUGCAGAAGAGGACAGUGGAACUCCAUGUGUAGCGGUGGAAUGCGUAGAUAUAUGGAAGAACACCAGUGGCGAAGGCGGCUGUCUGGUCUGCAACUGACGCUGAGGCUCGAAAGCAUGGGUAGCGAACAGGAUUAGAUACCCUGGUAGUCCAUGCCGU